Long non-coding RNA from Papaver somniferum (opium poppy), 432 nucleotides. RefSeq lists it as uncharacterized. The transcript has 4 exons. The record is from RefSeq and is a predicted model, not a curated record. NCBI's taxonomy places the organism in Eukaryota, Viridiplantae, Streptophyta, Magnoliopsida, Ranunculales, Papaveraceae.
CAUUACCCAUAAAAUGGUUAGGCAAAUCAUUUACAAAUUACAGUUUUUCAAUUUAAUGGUGGAAAUUAGAGUUCAUCCGAUUGUAACCGUAGAGAUCCAUUGAUCAGCUAGGAGUGAGUUUUGGUUCGUUUGAAGGAUUUGGACAUUUGGGUAUCCAUCAGCAGCUGAGUGAAUCACCAGUUUUGGGGCCAUCUGAGGUUCCUGAAUAGAAGCUAGAAUUCAAGCAUAGGCUUCCAAUAGCUCUUGGAGCAGCUAAAGGUGAUCCUCUGGAAAAUCAGAGAGCAUUGAUGGCUUCCCUGGUUUAGCCCACCUGCAUACUUUGAGUCCUCCUUUGGUACAUAAGAAUUUCAAAACAUGCAGAUGUUUUACAAUGCGACACCUCAAGCAUUAGUAAGGACACUUGUUAGUGUUUGCCACGUCUUAACUUUAUAA